Molecule: ribosomal RNA, 460 nt
Filed under: uncultured bacterium
Lineage: Bacteria
Description: partial 16S ribosomal RNA
Rfam family: Bacterial small subunit ribosomal RNA
Source: RNAcentral
CCUACGGGCGGCAGCAGUGAGGAAUAUUGGUCAAUGGACGAGAGUCUGAACCAGCCAAGUCGCGUGAAGGAUGACUGCCCUAUGGGUUGUAAACUUCUUUUAUAUGGGAAUAAAAUGUUCCACGUGUGGGAUUUUGUAUGUACCAUAUGAAUAAGGUUCGGCUAACUCCGUUCCAGCAGCCGCGGUAAUACGGAGGAUCCGAGCGUUAUCCGGAUUUAUUGGGGUUAAAGGUAGCGUAGGUGGAUUGUUAAGUCAGUUGUGAAAGUUGGCGGCUCAACCGUAAAAUUGCAGUUGAAACUGGGAGUCUAGAGUACAGGAGAGGUGGGCGGAAUUCGUGGUGUAGCAGUGAAAUGCGUAGAUAUCACGAAGAACUCCGAUUGCGAAGGCAGCUCACUGGACUGCAACUGACACUGAGGCACGAAAGUGUGGGUAUCAAACAGGAUUAGAUACCCCAGUAGUC